Molecule: ribosomal RNA, 158 nt
Filed under: uncultured Brevundimonas sp.
Lineage: Bacteria; Pseudomonadati; Pseudomonadota; Alphaproteobacteria; Caulobacterales; Caulobacteraceae
Description: partial 16S ribosomal RNA
Rfam family: Bacterial small subunit ribosomal RNA
Source: RNAcentral
AGAGCGAUAUCUUGCGCAAUGGGCGAAAGCCUGACGCAGCCAUGCCGCGUGAAUGAUGAAGGUCUUAGGAUUGUAAAAUUCUUUCACCGGGGACGAUAAUGACGGUACCCGGAGAAGAAGCCCCGGCUAACUUCGUGCCAGCAGCCGCGGUAAAAAUA